This 77-nucleotide transfer RNA is filed under the name Clostridiales bacterium. Its description in RNAcentral is "tRNA-Met". It matches the Rfam family "tRNA". From Rfam's summary of the family: Transfer RNA (tRNA) molecules are approximately 80 nucleotides in length. Their secondary structure includes four short double-helical elements and three loops (D, anti-codon, and T loops). RNAcentral also lists the same sequence under 4 other names. The record is from RNAcentral. Lineage: Bacteria; Bacillati; Bacillota; Clostridia; Eubacteriales.
UGCGGGGUGGAGCAGUCUGGUAGCUCGUCGGGCUCAUAACCCGAAGGUCGCAGGUUCGAAUCCUGUCCCCGCUACCA